This 3009-nucleotide long non-coding RNA is filed under the name Ornithorhynchus anatinus (platypus). RNAcentral's name for it is "lncRNA (ENSOANG00000051246.1)". The record is from RNAcentral. Lineage: Eukaryota; Metazoa; Chordata; Mammalia; Monotremata; Ornithorhynchidae.
UCACUCUCCUUGGCCCCAUGCCUGGGGCACCCUCAUAGACUCUACUCUUUUCUUACUGCUGUUCCAGAGUCCUGCUGCUGUUCUAGCUGUGGAGAAACGGUGGGGGUUGUGUCUGUGCUGAUGGCAGCCACGACUUGUUCUCCAGUUGCUUUCUGUGACAGUGGAUGUCCCUGUAAUGAACAAACCUCCUCCGGCUCUGGAUCGGUCAGCUUGAAAGGAGAAUCCAGCCAACGGGAGCAGGACCAUCCAGAGCGGAGAUGGAGGCAAUCAGCCCCAGGGAACACAGAUCCAGGUGGCUGCUUUUCAGAUGCCCAAGGGCUGGACCUGCAGUCUUUGGGCCACACAGGCCUGAUGCUUCUGCCUUGCUGUCCCAUCUCUCCAUGUCUUAGGGCCAUAUCACCGGUCCUCUGCACCUUCGCCGAUGGGAGGAAAGGACCUGAAAGCUCGCUUCGGUCAGAAGACAGGGGAUCCGUCAUCUGUCUUGAGCCCAGCCAUGUGGAACCCAAUGCCAUCUGGAGCCUCUGGUCUAGGAACCACCAUCCUUCCUCAGAUAACCCAGCUGCUGGAACUCUGCGUCCCCUAAGCUGGGAUGUCAUGGUGGCUGGAAAAAGUGGCUCAUGGGAGUCGGGCUGCUGGGGCCAAGUUGGUCACGAGAGCUUGCGGACAUGAGUUGUCACCUCCUGCCUUAGUCAUCCAUCAGUCUGGCUCGGGGGAUGGGACGAGGCUGGAAGAAAUACGGGGGACGGACUUCUAAGCCUCACUGAGGAAGAGGAAAUGAGCAGCCUUCUGCAUCACUCUUGACAGUCCCCAGCUGGCUCCUCCAGCACACAUCAAGGAAUGUUUUAUGCUCUUUUUGUUGGUUGCUGGGGCUGGAAAAGAGGUAGAACUACAGUCCCAAGACCCAGGGAAAUAGCUCCGUGGCCCUUUGUCCACUUUUAUAUCAGCCAGGCUGUUUUUCAGCUGGCCUGGCCUCUGUCAGGUACAGGUUCAGCAUCAGACUCUUUUAGGUCUAGGAUUUUAACUUUGAGCACUUAAGCUUCCUCCAUCAUAGCUCCAAGCCACCAAAUUCUGUGGCUCCGAUGUAGUGUUUGGGUUCACACAGACCUGGGGAGGCAAUGACCCUGGAAAAGUUGGGGACGGGAGCAGUCAGGGGCUCCCCUGGCGAAACAUUUGAGGAUUUUACAAAUUUGGCGUACAUGAUUUAAGUUGGCACGUGUGAUGCAGCUUCGUGUUUCACUAUGCACCCACCGCAAGACCACGUGGCGCUGCAUGGGUUUCCUGGUCCAGUCUGGUGAAAGACUCCUUUUCUGAGAGCAGUGGUAGAGUCUUGUCCAAAAGGUGGGGAGUGGGAAAUGUAAGCAUGUGGGACAAGAUGAAAACUGUUGAAAACAGAUGUUAACCGAACGAGCUGCCCGAACCAUAAAAAAUUUCCAGGUGUGUCAGAAUGAGAGAAUAGCAGACGAUGCGGGUGCAAUGGGCAUCAUGCUACCCAACCAGCGAAGCUGGGAAAGAAAUCAAAUACAGGUCAAGUCACCGAGAGACGCUGGUUCCGGACAACCAGAUGGGGAUUGUUUAGUCUCCGUCACGUGUCCACCUCAGCCACAGGGCCUUUGGGCAGAGCAGCCCUUACUGCCCCUUCUUGGCCAACACGAACCCCGGUGGGAUUUGAGUGACUCACAGUUGGAAAAGAUAGUACAGGGGUAAAACUGUAGGAUUUUGUUGGCUUACUGGUGAGCACAUUGUACAUUUGCAAUGGCUUAGAGACCUGCCAGUUCAAAAGGUUAAAGAAAUAUGAGCCUUUUCUUUGUUGCUAGGAAAUGGACAGGGGGAUGGAUGUGGGUAGCCGUGUCAGAGUAAGAAGGGGUCUCAUCAGAUCUUUUCCUUUUCACCAGUGGAAUGAAGUAGGCAUGUAUUUGUUUCAGUCUUGUUAACCUUUUCUUGAGGAAAACAAGGGCUGUGGAAACUGGUUUGAACCUUUAAUCCCAGUCCUCUGGGAAAGUCAACUCAACAGGCUAACAGCACCAUCAAAAGAGCUAGAAUCACUUAUACUGGAAUGUGGUAUGCUCAUUUUUCCCUCCCUCCUGCUUCACACAGGCACUUAGUCCCACUCUCUAAGCACUUAGAUACUCACCCCACCCUUACCCCACAGCACUUAUGUAUAUGCCCUUUCCCUGGUUGCUUCCCAUAACUGUGAUUUAUUUUAAUAUCUAUCUCCCCUGAUAGACUGUUAGCUCCUUCAAGGCAGAGCUCCUGUCUACCAGUUGUAUUGUAUCCUGAGUGCUCAGUUCAGGGAGCAGGCCACAGUAAGUGCUCAAUAAAUACAAUAGAUUGAUUCAUUAUGCUGUAGAAUCACAUUGAAAAGUACUCCCUGGGAUGCUUGGGUCACAGGUGUCUUUAUAUUUUUGCACAUUUCUAUCUUUCUAGAUUCAUCUCCUCAGGUCUAGCAGGCAAGCAGUCUUUAAGAGUGAUUCCAUAGAAAAAACACCAGCAUCUUUCUAUUCACGUAAAUGGGGCAGGAGUUAGGAGUAGGGAAAAAAGAAAAUAUCACUGAAAUAAAAGUGGUGUUUUUAAAGCGCCACUCUGUAGUGUGUGUGUGUUGGGUGGUUCUCUGCCAGGCUGAAGGUGGAGAAUUAAUGCAGUGCAGUAUAUAUGUCGGUCAAUCAUAUUUAUUGAACGCUUACUCUGUGCAGAGCACUGUACUAAGCGCUAUUUAUUUACCUCCCUAGUAAAUAAACAAUAUAAGUGAAAAUCCUUGGAGCUUUUCAUAUAUAAGGUCCUAGAGUAAGUGGUUCUCAGCCCAAUUUACCCUCAGGAACUGGAGGCUCUGGUCAUUUGGUGAGGGCGAAGUAGGGUUGAUCUUUUAAAAUCUCAUUUCUCCACUUAUCUCUUCCUAGCCUUGGUAUGUGUUGCCUUUUUGAGCAUCUCCUCUGUAUUUUCCACCUUCCCUAUGUACAGAAGAAUGGAGACUCUCUUCUCUUGUUCCUGCUUAAAAAAAUAAAUAAAUGAAUU